GAGGAGAGUGAUGAGGAGACCAGCUUCCCUGCUGCUGGCCAGGAGUGAGCUGCUAAAGGAAGAUAGCAGUGGGCCUCAGGGCUCUCUGCAGAUGAGAUACCUCAAGGUGGAGCUUCUUUCAUGGACAUUUAAUGGAAGCCCCUUCCUUUAUGGAUUAAGAUAUUCAUUUUGCAAUAAACAUGAUCUAUUGUGUCA
This is a long non-coding RNA of Coregonus clupeaformis (lake whitefish), 195 nucleotides long. RefSeq lists it as uncharacterized. The record is from RefSeq and is a predicted model, not a curated record. NCBI's taxonomy places the organism in Eukaryota, Metazoa, Chordata, Actinopteri, Salmoniformes, Salmonidae. The transcript is spliced from 2 exons.